ACAAAGUUAACUUAACCUAUGGAUGGGAAUAACCUCGGGAAACUGAGAAUAAUACCCAAUGGGCCACAGUGCCUGGAAUGGCCUGUGGUUGAAAUGAUUUAUCGCCGUAAGAUAGGCAGGAAACCUGCGGCCUAUCAGCUUGUUGGUGAGGAUUAAACUGAGCCCACCAAGGCUAUAACAGGUACGGGCUCUGAGAGGAGGGGCCCGGAGAUGGGUACUGAGACACGGACCCAGGCCCUAUGGGGCGCAGCAGGCGAGAAACCUUUGCAAUGUGCGAAAGCACGACAAGGUUAAUCCGAGUGUCUCCUGCUAAAGGAGUCUUUAGUCAGUUGUAAAAUCACUGGUGAAUACGGGGUGGGCAAGUUCUGGUGUCAGCCGCCGCGGUAAAACC
Molecule: ribosomal RNA, 391 nt
Filed under: uncultured archaeon
Lineage: Archaea
Description: bacterial SSU rRNA
Rfam family: Archaeal small subunit ribosomal RNA
Source: RNAcentral